This 465-nucleotide ribosomal RNA is filed under the name uncultured Phascolarctobacterium sp. RNAcentral describes it as "partial 16S ribosomal RNA". The record is from RNAcentral. Lineage: Bacteria; Bacillati; Bacillota; Negativicutes; Acidaminococcales; Acidaminococcaceae.
GACUACUGGGGUAUCUAAUCCCGUUCGCUACCCUGGCUUUCGCAUCUCAGCGUCAGACACAGUCCAGAAAGGCGCCUUCGCCACUGGUGUUCCUCCCAAUAUCUACGCAUUUCACCGCUACACUGGGAAUUCCCCUUUCCUCUCCUGCACUCAAGCCUACCAGUUUCCAGCGCCAUACGGGGUUGAGCCCCGCAUUUUCACGCUCGACUUAAUAGGCCGCCUACAUGCUCUUUACGCCCAAUAAUUCCGGACAACGCUCGCCACCUACGUAUUACCGCGGCUGCUGGCACGUAGUUAGCCGUGGCUUCCUCGUUUACUACCGUCAUUGCAAUGCAUUGUUCACACACUGCACGUUCGUCAUAAACAACAGAGUUUUACAGACCGAAAUCCUUCAUCACUCACGCGGCGUUGCUCCGUCAGACUUUCGUCCAUUGCGGAAGAUUCCCCACUGCAGCCUCCCGUAGG